RNAcentral lists this long non-coding RNA (315 nucleotides) under Solanum tuberosum (potato). RNAcentral's name for it is "long non-coding RNA (STUB_LNC007271)". Lineage: Eukaryota; Viridiplantae; Streptophyta; Magnoliopsida; Solanales; Solanaceae. The record is from RNAcentral.
GAUUCUAAUGGGUGUUGAAUCGUGAAAUAUUUCUUUAUUGAUUCCGAGAUGAUUUCACAUGAUUUGUUUUGGGCUUAAGUUGUCUUCUUCGCUUUAUUUUUCUCAAAUGGUAGUGAAGGUUUUGUUUCCAAAGUGAUUUAGUGCUUAUUAUUAAAAUCGUCUCUCUGUUUGUUUCUUCCAAAUUGGUGAUCAUUGUGCUCGCCUCGAGUUUUAGCGUUUUGUUUUUCACUAGAUAGUCAUGAUACUGCUCUAUUCUUAUUUUUGUUGAAAUAGCACCCAUGCUUUCGUCAUGUGUUUGGAUGGUGCCGAAUGAAU